AACGUAGGAGGCAAGCGUUAUCCGGAUUUACUGGGUGUAAAGCGCGUGCAGGCGGUUUGUCAAGUCGCGUGUGAAAGCGCCCGGCUCAACCGGGCGAGGCCGCGCGAAACUGAGAAACUGGAGGCCGGUAGAGGCGUGUGGAAUUCCGGGUGUAGUGGUGAAAUGCGUAGAGAUCCGGAGGAACACCAGUGGCGAAGGCGACACGCUGGACCGAGCCUGACGCUCAGACGCGACAGCAUGGGGAGCGAACGGG
RNAcentral lists this ribosomal RNA (253 nucleotides) under uncultured bacterium. Its description in RNAcentral is "partial 16S ribosomal RNA". It matches the Rfam family "Bacterial small subunit ribosomal RNA", at positions 524 to 776 of the family's 1533-position model. The record is from RNAcentral.